UGUUACAGUGACAAGUAUGUGAUGGGGCUUAGAGUGAAAGUUACAAGUCUGGAGAAUCUGUCAG
Cyprinus carpio (common carp) is the source of this 64-nucleotide long non-coding RNA. RefSeq lists it as uncharacterized. The transcript is spliced from 3 exons. The record is from RefSeq and is a predicted model, not a curated record. Lineage: Eukaryota; Metazoa; Chordata; Actinopteri; Cypriniformes; Cyprinidae.